GAUGAACGCUGGCGGCGUGCCUAAUACAUGCAAGUCGAGCGAACGGACGAGAAGCUUGCUUCUCUGAUGUUAGCGGCGGACGGGUGAGUAACACGUGGAUAACCUACCUAUAAGACUGGGAUAAAUUCGGGAAACCGGAGCUAAUACCGGAUAAUAUUUUGAACCGCAUGGUUCAAAAGUGAAAGACGGUCUUGAUGUCACUUAUAGAUGGAUCUGCGCUGCAUUAGCUAGUUGGUAAGGUAACGGCUUACCAAGGCAACGAUGCAUAGCCGACCUGAGAGGGUGAUCGGCCACACUGGAACUGAGACACGGUCCAGACUCCGACGGGAGGCAGCAGUAGGGAAUCUUCCGCAAUGGGCGAAAGCCUGACGUAGCAACGCCGCGUGAGUGAUGAAGGUCUUCGGAUCGUAAAACUCUGUUAUUAGGGAAGAACAUAUGUGUAAGUAACUGUGCACAUCUUGACGGUACCUAAGCAGAAAGCCACGGCUAACUACGUG
Molecule: ribosomal RNA, 497 nt
Filed under: uncultured bacterium
Lineage: Bacteria
Description: partial 16S ribosomal RNA
Rfam family: Bacterial small subunit ribosomal RNA
Source: RNAcentral